This 373-nucleotide ribosomal RNA is filed under the name uncultured organism. RNAcentral's name for it is "partial 16S ribosomal RNA". It matches the Rfam family "Bacterial small subunit ribosomal RNA", at positions 527 to 896 of the family's 1533-position model. The record is from RNAcentral.
GUAGGUGGCAAGCGUUGUCCGGAAUUAUUGGGCGUAAAGCGCGCGCAGGCGGUCCUUUAAGUCUGGUGUGAAAGCCCACGGCUCAACCGUGGAGGGUCAUUGGAAACUGGGGGACUUGAGUACAGAAGAGGAAAGCGGAAUUCCACGUGUAGCGGUGAAAUGCGUAGAGAUGUGGAGGAACACCAGUGGCGAAGGCGGCUUUCUGGUCUGUAACUGACGCUGAGGCGCGAAAGCGUGGGGAGCAAACAGGGAUUAGAUACCCUGGUAGUCCACGCCGUAAACGAUGAGUGCUAAGUGUUAGGGGGUUUCCCGCCCCUUAGUGCUGCAGCUAACGCAUUAAGCACUCCGCCUGGGGAGUACGGCCGCAAGGCUG